Octodon degus (degu) is the source of this 1230-nucleotide RNA transcript. It is a transcript of the gene named GPN-loop GTPase 1 pseudogene, with no coding region annotated. Lineage: Eukaryota; Metazoa; Chordata; Mammalia; Rodentia; Octodontidae. The record is from RefSeq and is a predicted model, not a curated record. The transcript has a single exon.
AUGGGUGUAGGCGGGGCUGGCGGAAACAUGGCGGCGCAAGCGAGCGCCGCUGAGCUCCCAGACGCGGGGGCUCCUCGGCCCUCCGUGUGUCUGUUGGUUUUGGGAAUGGCAGGAUCCGGGAAAACCACUUUUGUACAGAGGCUCACAGGGCACCUGCAUAGACAAAGCUCUCCACCGUAUGUGAUAAACCUGGACCCAGCUGUACAUGAAGUGCCCUUUCCUGCCAACAUUGAUAUUCGUGACACUGUGAAGUAUAAAGAAGUCAUGAAACAAUACGGACUUGGGCCCAAUGGUGGCAUAGUGACCUCGCUCAAUCUCUUUGCUACCAGAUUUGAUCAGGUGAUGAAAUUUAUUGAGAAAGCCCAGAACACUUCCAAGUAUGUCUUGAUUGACACACCUGGACAGAUCGAAGUGUUCACCUGGUCAGCUUCUGGGACAAUCAUCACCGAGGCGCUGGCAUCCUCGUUUCCAACAGUAGUCAUCUAUGUGAUGGACACAUCGCGAAGCACUAACCCAGUGACCUUCAUGUCCAAUAUGCUGUACGCAUGCAGCAUCCUGUACAAAACCAAGCUGCCUUUUAUUGUAGCCAUGAACAAAACAGACAUCAUUGACCACAGCUUUGCCGUGGAAUGGAUACAGGAUUUUGAGGCUUUCCAAGAUGCCUUGAAUCAAGAAACUACAUAUGUCAGUAACCUCACUCGAUCCAUGAGUCUGGUGCUAGAUGAGUUUUACAGCUCACUGAGGGUGGUGGGUGUGUCUGCUGUUCUGGGCACCGGCUUCGAUGAGCUCAUGGUGCAGGUCACCAGUGCUGCAGAAGAAUAUGAAAGGGAGUAUCGUCCUGAAUAUGAACGCCUGAAGAAAUCACUGGCCAGUGCACAGACUCAGCAGCAGAAGGAACAACUGGAACGCCUUCGGACAGACAUGGGCUCCGUAGCCUUGGAUGCAGGGACCGCCAGAGACAGUGCAUCUUCCACGCUGGACCCUUCUGACUUGAUCCUGACUCGGGGAACCUUGGGUGAAGAGGAUGAAGAUGCUGAUAGUGACACUGACGAUAUUGAUCACAGAGUUACAGAGGAAAGCCACGAAGAGCCAGCAUUUCAGAACUUUAUGCAAGAAUCAAGGGCACAGUACUGGAAGAGAAACAAGAAAUAAACCUUUAGGAAACUUCACUUGCUUCCACAAGUCCUGGAUUCUGGACUUUCAUGUGAAUAAACUGUGCUUACCUGUGAC